GGAUUGUGGCUCAGUGGUAGGGUGCUUGCCUACCAUGCAUGAGGCACUGGGUUCAAUCCUUAGCACCA
Molecule: transfer RNA, 68 nt
Filed under: Marmota monax (woodchuck)
Lineage: Eukaryota; Metazoa; Chordata; Mammalia; Rodentia; Sciuridae
Description: tRNA.Gly
Source: RNAcentral